RNAcentral lists this ribosomal RNA (253 nucleotides) under uncultured bacterium. RNAcentral's name for it is "partial 16S ribosomal RNA". It matches the Rfam family "Bacterial small subunit ribosomal RNA", at positions 524 to 776 of the family's 1533-position model. The record is from RNAcentral.
UACGUAGGGGGCAAGCGUUGUCCGGAAUCAUUGGGCGUAAAGAGCGUGUAGGCGGCCCGGUAAGUCCGCUGUCAAAGUCAAAGGCUUAACCUUUGAAUGUCAGUGGAUAUUGCCGGGCUAGAGUCCGGAAGAGGCGAGUGGAACUCCUGGUGUAGCGAUGGAAUGCGCAGAUAUCAGGAAGAACACCAACGGCGAAGGCAACUCGCUAGGACGGUACUGACGCUGAGACGCGAAAGCGUGGGGAGCGAACAGG